Dermacentor silvarum is the source of this 3343-nucleotide long non-coding RNA. RefSeq lists it as uncharacterized. The record is from RefSeq and is a predicted model, not a curated record. Lineage: Eukaryota; Metazoa; Arthropoda; Arachnida; Ixodida; Ixodidae. The transcript is spliced from 2 exons.
UUUAUUUGUAUCAACCGACGCAGGCUGAAAAUCGAUUCGUAACAACCAUUCUCUAGCACGUUGCAAAGGAAUGGGGCUCGGCCGGGACCACAGAAAAAUUCGUAUCAUCCGGAAAUUCGUAUUAGCCGUGAUCGUAUCAUCGAGCUUUUACUGUACAUAGGAAAACAUCAGCCCUAGUGAACUACUGUGCCCUUACGAACCGCCGUGCGGCACUCCAGAGUGCGGUGCCAAGGUGUACUCCCGGCCGUCUCCGAGCACAAAGCUCCCUCUCUACCGGCUGCCAGCCGUUAAUUUCCGUCAGUCGAUCCCGCCCGAACGACGUUGACAGCCUGCCGAUAAAAACUGCGACCUUUCGAACAUGCCGGAUACAUUUAGAUCAAUGUGCCGCCGUGAUGAAACUGUCCGAGAAGAAAGCGAAAAUCACCGGCAGAUGCCUGGUGACAUUCUGGGGCAGUUUGAUGCACUUUUGCUGUCCUGACAAAUAGAGGCCGUCUUCCAAGUCUGUGCUGCUACCAUUAUCUAGAAAUUCAAGCCCAGAUGCAUCAGAAUCCGUCGAAAUUCGCUGUUUCCGUGGAGCAGCAGCGCGCUCCAGGGAUGGCGACGUCGAUGCCAUCUUCGAAACUAUGAGCGCUCAUCUCUCCGACUACGAAGGUGCUUCAAAAAUAUCCGCACUGUGGAAAACAAAAACGCAAAAGCGAAACUUAGUUUCGCUUCAACCUAUUCGGUGGCACUAGCUGUCUAAACGCACUCGGAGUGCACCAAAAUUCAAAUUUCUACCACCGAUAACAUACUAUCGAUGGGAAUAGGGGCGGUCAUGAAAGCGUUAAUUUUGGCAAAAAUAUUAUGCAAGUAUAAGUGGAUAAGUAAAUAUCACUUUUAUGAUCUUAAAAUUUUUUGUAACAAUUUGAGUAGAUGGCUGACUGUUUUAAAAUGCUCUGUCAGACAACAAACAACUGAUCAUCAGUAUAACGGAGAUCAGUGACCUCGUUCUUAAGUAUUGGUACUUCGAUAUUAACAAGUGACUGCUUAUAGGCAGUUGUGUGCUCAGAGUCUUUAUUACUCUCUCUCUCUUUUUAUUCUGAUGACACUGAAAUCUUUGCAAAUCGUCCUUCAUUAUAUCAAAAUGGUCAAAGCCAGCCCGUUUAUUCCAAGGCAAGUACGGCCGCCUCGGAAUGGCUGCCGCCUGUGUUGAUCCUGCCGGCGCUGUUUCCGUCCCAAAAGUAUGCCAAGCGAUGUUUGAAGCUGCAAGCUAUUGAAUUUGGUAUGUCCAUGGUAAAAAAAGUCCACUGUAAAAGAGAGCUGACCAGCUUGCAGGCCUUAUAAUUUAGCCAAUUAUAUCCGAAUUAUUUUGUACCCGAAUCCGUUGCAUACGAAGCUCAAUCAACGGAAGACAUAGGAAGAUCAGCAUAAUGCCUCAAAUUGGUAUGUAUCUGAAUAUCUGUUGUAAGCAGAUCCAUUGUGACGAGGUUAUACUGUAUCUAUCGCUUCUGGCGGAAAAAAUACAAUGUUCAACAGGUAGAACGUCACCGCGAACCGUUAUCAGCUAUCGGCAACACAUAAACAAAGCGUCGCCGAAUGGUGAUCUUCAGAUAACGGGUUAGUAACCACCGAUCCUUUGCUGCAUUGCGUGGCAACAUCAUGUGGUGCAGCGUUUUCGCUGAUUCAAGCCUCGUGAAUAUCGACCAUAACAAUAGAACUCUUGAGUGGUUCCCAAGGUGGAAGGACACAGAUGGUCAUUCCAAAUCGUUGAUAUAAGCGCAAUGCUCAGGUUUCCGCAUGGACAACUGCAUACCUGCCAUGUUCGAAGAAACCAAAUCCAGGAGAUCUUCCGACCGGGGGGGGGGGCACUUACACAACCCCCGACGUCUAUAUUUGCAAGUACUGACAGCAGAACAUUUAUUCACAGAUCUACAAAUGACCACAUGCCCAUCAAUGUCUCACUUUUGCAAGCAUUUUGCUGUUGCUACUUUUGCCUUCAAACAUUCUUUUAAUUUAACUAAAUUAUCGGGUCUUACAUCCCACAACCAGCAUCUGAUUAUGAGGCACGCCGUAGUGGUGAGCUCCGGAUUAAUUUCGACCAGCUGGGGUUCUUUAACGCGCACCCAAUGGACGGCACACGGGCGUUUUAGCGGUUCGCCCCAACUAAAUGCGGCCGCCCCGGCCGAGAUUUGAUCCCGCGAUCUCGUGCUUAGCAGCGCAAUGCCAAAGCCACUAAGCAACCACGGCAGGUGUUCAAAAAUUCUUCAGAGAAUGUUUGAUUGUCAGAAAUUCCAUUUCUUUAACAUUUUGCGAGGACGAGAUUCCUAGUGUUUUAGACGAGCGACACAUGGACGAGCAGCACUGCGUCCUCGUAUGUUAAAUUGCCGCUCGCACUCUGCAUUACUCUGUGGUAUCAACAAAAUAUCCAGCGUCACUUCGGCUGAGCACUCCAUUAAAAAUACUUGAAGAUACCUAUUGCGCUAGAACUCCUUGCUUUUAAACCAUGAAUGACCAUAGGCCUACGCAAUGCCAGAGCGGCUUAUGCCGAGGAGAAUGAUGGAGAGUCGAGUGUUGCUAGUUGCGGAACGCAGCAUUCGCUCGCUAGGGCACUCAACAACCCCGUCAGCGCAAGGAGUGGCUGCGCGGUUAUCGAAAUAGUGCAGGUAUAGGGUUUCCCUACUACUUUCUUAACAAUGUUUUGCCCGAUGAACUUCCAACUGGAUUGGAUUGGGUUAGAUUCUUUUUGCCAACGUGGCCUGAAAAAGCGCUGCACCCACAUAGAAACGGGACACAAGUGCAAUUUCCAGGUGAUUUUCUUGUCAACCGUACAAUCGGGAGAAAUAGUCCAAAUCCGGGAGUUUCCCGGGUAAUCCGCGAGACUUGGCAGGUAUGCAACUGCAAAAAAAUGAGUGUGCCGCCGUCGUGGCAUCCAAUAUCACACAGACACAUGCGGGAUGCGCGCUGUUGUGUGCACUUUUUUUAUUGUGACCGGGUUCAAAGCGUUCGUUGUAACAGUCAGACAAUUUAAGUGUUCAUUAUACCUGACAGCAACUUCCAUAGACAGGGUCGGGAAAUCGUAAAUGCACUGAAAUGUGGUUGUUAUAACCGACAGAUCGUUUAUUUGGGUUCGUUGUAUCUGGAUUCGACUGUAUAACAAAACUUCUAUUUGGCAAAGCCAAUUGCCGAUUUUACUGCCUUCGUUAUAAGGAGGUUUAACAGCACUAGUGCUUCUUUCCCCACCUGCCUUGUACUCUGGGGCACAGUCCUUCGUGAAGCCGUUCGGCUGUGUCAUGAGUAAAGAUUUUAAUUUGGGAAUAAAGAUGCACACACGUGCAUUAGCGCCUUUAGUUCGCAUUUUUUUUUU